RNAcentral lists this long non-coding RNA (272 nucleotides) under Glycine max (soybean). RNAcentral's name for it is "long non-coding RNA (GMAX_LNC001306)". The record is from RNAcentral. Lineage: Eukaryota; Viridiplantae; Streptophyta; Magnoliopsida; Fabales; Fabaceae.
UUGUCCUUCUCCACUUGGGCCUUCGCCCUUCUCCACUUGGGCCUUUAGCCUGAAUUUGGCCAAUUUCAGGAUUCUCAUCAUUUCCUCCUUCUGGGAAAACAUUUGCCCUCAAAUGUCCAGGAUCAUCACCGGGUUCAAGUACCACUUCCUUCCUUUUCUUGUUGGCUUGCUUGGCAUAACUUUCAUUCUUCUUUGAAAUUUGCACGUUUACUUGGUCAUACAAUCUUUUCACAUACUCAACUUUGGCUUGUGCAUCCUUAUGUUGAGUCUAU